RNAcentral lists this ribosomal RNA (241 nucleotides) under uncultured bacterium. Its description in RNAcentral is "partial 16S ribosomal RNA". The record is from RNAcentral.
CUGCUGCCUCCCGUAGGAGUCUGGGCCGUAUCUCAGUCCCAAUGUGGCCGUUCAACCUCUCAGUCCGGCUACUGAUCGUCGACUUGGUAAGCCGUUACCUUACCAACUAUCUAAUCAGACGCAAGGCCAUCUUUUAGCGAAUUGCUCCUUUCCCACUAUUAUCAUGUGAUAACUAUGGCAUAUGCGGUAUUAGCAAUGAUUUCUCAUUGUUAUUCCCUCUAAAGCAGGUUCUUACGCGUUA